Molecule: ribosomal RNA, 699 nt
Filed under: uncultured bacterium
Lineage: Bacteria
Description: bacterial SSU rRNA
Rfam family: Bacterial small subunit ribosomal RNA
Source: RNAcentral
AGCUUGCUCCCAGGCGUCGAGCGGCGGACGGGUGAGUAACGCGUAGGAAUCUACCCAGUAGUGGGGGAUAGCCCGGGGAAACUCGGAUUAAUACCGCAUACGCCCUACGGGGGAAAGGCCGGGAUCUUCGGACCGGUCGCUAUUGGAUGAGCCUGCGUUGGAUUAGCUAGUUGGUAGGGUAAAGGCCUACCAAGGCGACGAUCCAUAGCUGGUCUGGGAGGAUGAUCAGCCACACUGGAACUGAGACACGGUCCAGACUCCUACGGGAGGCAGCAGUGGGGAAUAUUGGACAAUGGGCGCAAGCCUGAUCCAGCCAUGCCGCGUGUGUGAAGAAGGCUCUAGGGUUGUAAAGCACUUUCAGUAGGGAGGAAGGCCAGAGUGUUAAUAGCGCUUUGGAUUGACGUUACCUACAGAAGCAGCACCGGCUAACUCCGUGCCAGCAGCCGCGGUAAUACGGAGGGUGCAAGCGUUAAUCGGAAUUACUGGGCGUAAAGCGCGCGUAGGCGGUUUGUUAAGUGUGAUGUGAAAGCCCAGGGCUCAACCUUGGAACUGCAUCACAUACUGGCAAGCUAGAGUACGGUAGAGGGGGGUAGAAUUCCAUGUGUAGCGGUGAAAUGCGUAGAGAUGUGGAGGAAUACCAGUGGCGAAGGCGGCCCCCUGGAUCGAUACUGACGCUGAGGUGCGAAAGCGUGGGGAGCA